Molecule: non-coding RNA, 72 nt
Organism: Phthorimaea operculella (potato tuberworm)
Lineage: Eukaryota; Metazoa; Arthropoda; Insecta; Lepidoptera; Gelechiidae
Source: the annotation of a GenBank genome assembly
GCAUCUAUAGCUCAGUGGCAGAGCGGUGGGGCGUUUACCCAUGCGGCCCGGGUUCGAUCCCCGGUCGAUGCA